Molecule: small RNA, 28 nt
Filed under: Bombyx mori (domestic silkworm)
Lineage: Eukaryota; Metazoa; Arthropoda; Insecta; Lepidoptera; Bombycidae
Description: ovarian small RNA-23313
Source: RNAcentral
UAUACCAGGGUUUGCUGCUACCCCCAAC